RNAcentral lists this ribosomal RNA (464 nucleotides) under uncultured bacterium. RNAcentral's name for it is "partial 16S ribosomal RNA". It matches the Rfam family "Bacterial small subunit ribosomal RNA", at positions 339 to 795 of the family's 1533-position model. The record is from RNAcentral.
CUACGGGUUGCAGCAGUGGGGAAUAUUGCACAAUGGGCGCAAGCCUGAUGCAGCCAUGCCGCGUGUAUGAAGAAGGCCUUCGGGUUGUAAAGUACUUUCAGCGGGGAGGAAGGGAGUAAAGUUAAUACCUUUGCUCAUUGACGUUACCCGCAGAAGAAGCACCGGCUAACUCCGUGCCAGCAGCCGCGGUAAUACGGAGGGUGCAAGCGUUAAGUGGAAUUACUGGGCGUAAGGCGCACGCAGGCGGUUUGUUAAGUCAGAUGUGAAAUCCCCGGGCUCAACCUGGGAACUGCAUCUGAUACUGGCAAGCUUGAGUCUCGUAGAGGGGGGUAGAAUUCCAGGUGUAGCGGUGAAAUGCGUAGAGAUCUGGAGGAAUACCGGUGGCGAAGGCGGCCCCCUGGACGAAGACUGACGCUCAGGUGCGAAAGCGUGGGGAGCAAACAGGAUUAGAUACCCGUGUAGUC